GUCGGUUGUGCACAGUAGUGCGAAUUCGUCUGGUCAAAAGUACACUAGAGCAAGUCUCUCCAAGUGAAGUUUGCCAGAAUACAUUACUAUCGAAAUGUCGGCCGUCACGGUUUGUUCGCUUUUGUUUUUGUUCGUCGCCCACGUUUUGUCUUACCCUCAGCCCGGCGGUGGAGGUCACAACCAAUGGUCCAACCCUCAAAUGGGUAUGUCUGGAAACGGUUAUCAGCCCGGUGGUUUCGGUGGUGGUGGUGGUGCUAGUGGCAGACACCAACAACAGCAUCAAGGGUUCGGUAAUGGUCAACAUAUGCAAGGCAAUAAUGGUGGUGGUCAACGGGGUUUCGGCGGCAACGGGGAGGUGGCAACGGGCAAAACGGAUAUUCGCAAAACAGGGGAGGGCGGCAAGGGCAGUCUGGCGGUUCCGGACAAGGCGCCGAGGCCUACAAAACAAACGUUUACAACGAACCCGACCGAUACGGUUACGAUUACAACAUACCCGGAGCCAACGUGCACUUUAUGAUGCAUAAAAAACGAGGAAAUCAAGGUUCCGGGAACUAUGGUGGUAGUCAAGGUGGAAUGAACCACAAUAAUUAUUAAUUUACCAGCCGAUUAGUAAAAAUAUAAUACUAUAAGAUUCACUAUAAUUGCGCAUUAUACCUAUUAUUAUAAUUUCAUUUAAAUUUUUUAACAUUUUAUUUUAUUAGUUAUUAUACCAUUAUUUUUAUUAUAAAUAUACUCUGUAAUAAAUUUUAAAUAAAUGUCAU
This is a long non-coding RNA of Adelges cooleyi (spruce gall adelgid), 761 nucleotides long. RefSeq lists it as uncharacterized. NCBI's taxonomy places the organism in Eukaryota, Metazoa, Arthropoda, Insecta, Hemiptera, Adelgidae. The record is from RefSeq and is a predicted model, not a curated record. The transcript is spliced from 3 exons.